UGCAAUGACAUCUGCCCCUGCUCAAGUCCUCUGCCCUUGGGAGGUCCCACGACAGGCCUUGGCUCCAACCUUCAGCACCCAAGACCCCAGGAUGGCCCAUACUCUCAGGGGCCCCUGCCCUGGCCCUGGCCCACUUUCCUGGUCAUGUUCUCUUAGGAGUGGCUUCUAGCUAUAAAAGCCCAGGUCCUGGCACAGGCUAGGUGCCUUCUGACUGUUGGUUGAUGCAGGAAUAGACAUGAUCAUGUGACUGCUGCCCUCCCUCCAACCCCCAUCCAGCAGGGAGAGGCCCACUCUGGCCUCUGGAAGCCGGAGAAGAGGCUCACCUGCCCAAAGGCCUUCUGUCCAAAGUUCAAGGGAGCCCCACCCCUCCCAGAUGCUCAGCUCACCCCACCCCCAACAGGCAGGGCUACAGUGUGGUGGGCACUGCCACACCCGGACCUGCCACAACCUCUUGGAGUCAGUGACAAGAACCAAACGCACCCCAGCCUCCACCCCUCCCCUUUCCUGCUUUUAUUAUUUUCUUUUCCAUAAAGAUUAGUCUGUGUUGCUCCUCUAUCAAGGCCUGGAGGAUAAACAUGUGGUCCGGAGGCAGAGAAACCCCAGGCCUGAAGGCCCCACUGCCCCCACCCCAGCAGCAUAAACCCAGGGCUUUUAAGCAAG
This is a long non-coding RNA of Homo sapiens (human), 660 nucleotides long. Ensembl annotates it as long intergenic non-protein coding RNA 1276. The record is from Ensembl. NCBI's taxonomy places the organism in Eukaryota, Metazoa, Chordata, Mammalia, Primates, Hominidae.